RNAcentral lists this ribosomal RNA (396 nucleotides) under uncultured bacterium. RNAcentral describes it as "bacterial SSU rRNA". It matches the Rfam family "Bacterial small subunit ribosomal RNA", at positions 28 to 421 of the family's 1533-position model. The record is from RNAcentral.
GAUGAACGCUAGCGACAGGCCUAACACAUGCAAGUCGAGGGGCAGCACAAGGAGCAAUCUGAGGUGGCGACCGGCGCACGGGUGAGUAACACGUAUGCAACCUGCCUGUAAGAGGGGAAUAACCCGUUGAAAGACGGACUAAUACCGCAUAAAACUGGGAAUCUGCAUGGAUAUUCAGUUAAACAUUUAUGGCUUACAGAUGGGCAUGCGCAUGAUUAGAUAGUUGGAGAGGUAACGGCUCCCCAAGUCAACGAUCAUUAGGGGUUCUGAGAGGAAGGUCCCCCACACUGGUACUGAGACACGGACCAGACUCCUACGGGAGGCAGCAGUGAGGAAUAUUGGUCAAUGGACGCAAGUCUGAACCAGCCACGUCGCGUGAAGGAAGACGGCCCUACG